Molecule: long non-coding RNA, 873 nt
Organism: Bos taurus (domestic cattle)
Lineage: Eukaryota; Metazoa; Chordata; Mammalia; Artiodactyla; Bovidae
Source: Ensembl
AGAGCAGGAACAGGGAGAAACGAGGACGCAGCAACCUGGCUGGUGACACUGAUAUUGCUCCCCCCUCCCCCGCCACGCCGGUAUAAAUCCCCAGUGGCCGGCCAGCCCGCCUGCCAGCCCACCAUGCUCUCAAGAGGCAGCCCACUGACCCCGGCCCGGAUCCCGCCCUUCCAGCUCCCAGCCCACAGUCAGCGCCCUUGGAGCACCAGCCGGGGGCUGCAGCCAUCAGACGGGGGACCUGUCCUGCUCCACGUGCCCACGGUCACUGCAGCCUACAGGUUCCAGGUGCUGGCCCAGAGGCCCCAGGUGCUGUCUGCUGAGGCCCCGCUCUGGGGGACAUCACCAGAGAUCCCUGCAGACCGCAGCUGGAGCCUGGACCAAACCGAGAUUCCCGGCACACCGCCCCAUGGCAGAUUCCAGAAUCUCUCGAAGGUCUGCCACCCACAGCCCCUGGAGCCCUCACUCCAACCCGGAGCACCAGGGACACCGCAGAGCCCUGCAGCCCCCCAGGGCGAUCCGGGCAUGGCUGUCCACCCCCAGGAUCCUGGCCAGUGACACAGGAGAGGACUCCAGUUCCGCGUGGACAUGGAUGUAAAAAUAAGAAGUUUUGGUCAACUUUGCAAAUGGGGGGUUGGGUGGAGAAGGGGUCUUCGAUCCCUGGGGCUGUUGGUUUAAGCUCAGGCUCGCCCAGGUGAGACUGACGAUGCCCCUGCCCCGGGGGUCUGGCCCUCCUGCUUCCCACUUCCCCCUGCAGCUCCAAUCCCACCUGGAGCCUCCACUAUCCACAGAAAUAGGUCCCCCUGCCACCUCCUCAUCAGACUGGGAGCUUCAUGGGGGUAGGCUCUGAUGCUCAAUAAACGUCCUCUGCUGGCG